AACGCUGGCGGCAUGCCUAACACAUGCAAGUCGAACGGCAGCACAGCAGUAGCAAUACUGUGGGUGGCGAGUGGCGGACGGGUGAGGAAUACAUCGGAAUUUGCCCUGUCGUGGGGGAUAACGUAGGGAAACUUACGCUAAUACCGCAUACGACCUAACGGUGAAAGCGGGGGAUCGCAAGACCUCGCGCGGCUGGAGAAGCCGAUGUCAGAUUAGCUAGUUGGCGGGGUAAAGGCCCACCAAGGCGACGAUCUGUAGCUGGUCUGAGAGGAUGAUCAGCCACACUGGGACUGAGACACGGCCCAGACUCCUACGGGAGGCAGCAGUGGGGAAUAUUGGACAAUGGGCGCAAGCCUGAUCCAGCAAUGCCGCGUGUGUGAAGAAGGCCUUCGGGUUGUAAAGCACUUUUAUCAGGAGCGAAAUCUGCAGGGCUAAUACCCAUGCAGUCUGACGGUACCUGAGGAAUAAGCACCGGCUAACUUCGUGCCAGCAGCCGCGGUAA
This 502-nucleotide ribosomal RNA is filed under the name Lysobacteraceae bacterium D245c. Its description in RNAcentral is "bacterial SSU rRNA". It matches the Rfam family "Bacterial small subunit ribosomal RNA", at positions 32 to 523 of the family's 1533-position model. The record is from RNAcentral. Lineage: Bacteria; Pseudomonadati; Pseudomonadota; Gammaproteobacteria; Lysobacterales; Lysobacteraceae.